GGAAUCUUACGGAAGGCAGCAGUGGGGAAUCCAGCCCAACCGCGCAACCAUGAAGCCGCUAUGCCGCGUGAGCGAUGAAGCCCUUAGGGUGUAAAGCUCUUCGCCCCGAGAUAAUGACGGUACAGAAGAAUAAGCUUGCUAUUUG
Molecule: ribosomal RNA, 145 nt
Filed under: uncultured prokaryote
Description: partial 16S ribosomal RNA
Source: RNAcentral